GCUCCCGACGCUCCCGACGGCGACGAGGAUGGAACUCUAGGGUUUUAACACCCAACCAUGAGAAGGUGGAUCUCGGUUGUUUCUUGUUUCUGGAAUGGAUUAUUAAGGUUGUUUCUUAGCUUGAUUUUAAUAUAAUCGUUGUUGAUGGGAAGAUUCUGGGUAAAAGAUUCAAGCGGCUCGGGUUAUGGGAAGAAGAGAUCAAAGUAAGAUGUUGGUUGAGAAGGAAGGGACUUCGGUUUAUUGACUUGUAUUUUUCUUUGAUCUGCUGGUUGAUUUGGAGAUGGGAUCAUGUGAUGGUGUUAUGUGGGUUAGUUCUCCGGUUGGGAAAUCAAAAGAUCCGGCCAAUCUUGAAGGAUGUUUCAGUGCUAGUACAACAAGGUAAUCAAAGGUUGAUGUCAGAAUCAAGCGGUAAUGAUUUACUUCACGGAGUAAAGGACAUGUUCCAAAUGGAAGCAAAGGAAUUUGUUAUCUCGUUCCUCGAAAGGAUCGGUUCUUUAUCUUGUUUGUAUAAAACUUAUACUUGGGGGUCUGUGACUGGAUGUUAUCGGUUUCAUUUAACUUUGGCAUAUUGGUAUUGGACGUGGACAAAAAAAUUUGUUAACAAUAUACGGUUUAAGUGGUGGAGUCAUAUUGUAUUUUGGGUAUGGAAUUUUAUAAACACGUCUUUUAUUCCUA
This is a long non-coding RNA of Arabidopsis lyrata subsp. lyrata, 675 nucleotides long. RefSeq lists it as uncharacterized. The record is from RefSeq and is a predicted model, not a curated record. Lineage: Eukaryota; Viridiplantae; Streptophyta; Magnoliopsida; Brassicales; Brassicaceae. The transcript has 2 exons.